Long non-coding RNA from Astyanax mexicanus (Mexican tetra), 2891 nucleotides. RefSeq lists it as uncharacterized. The transcript has 6 exons. The record is from RefSeq and is a predicted model, not a curated record. NCBI's taxonomy places the organism in Eukaryota, Metazoa, Chordata, Actinopteri, Characiformes, Acestrorhamphidae.
AAGGUGUUGCUAACUGGUUGCUAGGCAGUUGCUAUAAUUUCUAAAGUGGUUGCUAAGUGGUUGCUAGGCAGUUGCUAACGUUUUCCUAGUGGUUGCUAAGGUGUUGCUAAGUGGUUGCUAGGCAGUUGCUAUCGUUUCUAAAGUGGUUGCUAAGCUGUUGCUAGGCUGUUUCUAACGUUUUCCUGGUGGUUGCUAAGGUGUUGCUAACUGGUUGCUAGGCAGUUGCUAUAAUUUCUAAAGUGGUUGCUAAGUGGUUGCUAGGCAGUUGCUAACGUUUUCCUAGUGGUUGCUAAGGUGUUGCUAAGUGGUUGCUAGGCAGUUGCUAUCGUUUCUAAAGUGGUUGCUAAGCUGUUGCUAGGCUGUUUCUAACGUUUUCCUGGUGGUUGCUAAGGUGUUGCUAACUGGUUGCUAGGCAGUUGCUAUAAUUUCUAAAGUGGUUGCUAAGUGGUUGCUAGGCAGUUGCUAACGUUUUCCUAGUGGUUGCUAAGGUGUUGCUAAGUGGUUGCUAGGCAGUUGCUAUCGUUUCUAAAGUGGUUGCUAAGCUGUUGCUAGGCUGUUUCUAACGUUUUCCAGGUGGUUGCUAAGGUGUUGCUAACUGGUUGCUAGACAGUUGCUAUAAUUUCUAAAGUGGUUGCUAAGUGGUUGCUAGGCAGUUGCUAACGUUUUCCAGGUGGUUGCUAAGGUGUUGCUAAGUGGUUGCUAGGCUGUUUCUAACGUUUUCCAGGUGGUUGCUAAGGUGUUGCUAACUGGUUGCUAGGCAGUUGCUAUAAUUUCUAAAGUGGUUGCUAAGUGGUUGCUAGGCAGUUGCUAACGUUUUCCAGGUGGUUGCUAAGCAGUUAAUAGGUGGUUGCUAAACCCUGGCUGGGGUGCCGGGGUGUCCAAACUUUUGACUGAUAGGUGCUCCAUACAGCAACUCCUCCAUACACUCACAGUACUGGAGGAGCAGGGGAGAGAAGGGGUUCCGUGCGCAGAGCUGCUCGUGUGUGAGAUAGAACUCUGGGCCCCCCAUUCAUUUCUAUGGGAAAACUUCGUACGACAAUUGUACGAAAACCGUACGACGUAUCGUCAAAACGUUUACAUUUUCGGAAAGAACGCGGUAAGGUCUAUAGACCGUCUGAUUUUUGUAUUUGUAUGUCAAAAAUUGUGGCGGUUACGGACGUUUAAAAUUUCGCCCCAUUCAUUCCUAUGGGAAAAAAAUGCGUACGUUUACGAAGUUUUUACGAAAACCGUACGAUGUAUCGCUUCAAAAAGCACAAGCAACCUAAUCGGGUAUAGGUUCUACGAUACUGCAAAAUUUCGUGAUUCUACGUCAAAAGCUGUAGGAGGAGUAGUGUUUUAAAUUUUGUUGCGAGAAUAAUAAUAAUAAUAAUAACUAGAAAAGGCAAAGUUCGUGAACGAACUUUAAGUUGGCUUGGAAAAGAACGCUAAUAACGUUAAAAAGUUAAAAUGGUUGCUAAGCUGUUUCUGUCUGAAGAGUGUGAAGAGUCGUGGAUAUGCUGUUAACUUUUGGCUAAACGCUAAAUGCCAAAAACGCCGAAAUCUAAAAAUGUUUGGUUAAACGCUGAAAUCUAAAAACGUUUGGUUAAACGCUGAAAUCUAAAAACGCUUGGUUAAACGCUGAAAUCUAAAAACGUUUGGUUAAACGCUGAAAUCUAAAAACGUUUAGUUAAACGCUGAAAUCUAAAAACGUUUGUUUAAAUGCUGAAAUCGUAAAACUUCUGGUUAAUCUUUUGAUUGCCAAUUUGAUCCUAGGCAGUUGCUAUCAUUUCUGAAGUGGUUGCUAAGCUGUUGCUAGGCAGUUGCUAAUGUUUUCCAGGUGGUUGCUAAGCUGUUGCUAACUGGUUGCUAGGCAAUUGCUAACAUAUACCAGGUGGUUGCUAAGGUGUUGCUAGGUGGUUGCUAGGGUGUUGCUAGGUUGUUGCUAAGGUGUUGCUAUGGUAUCCGGAGUGGUUGCUAAGAUGUUGCUAGGUGGUUGCUAAUGUGUUGCUAGGUGGUUGCUAAGGUGUUGCUAUGGUAUCUGGGGUGGUUGCUAAGGUGUUGCUAGGGUGUUGCUAGGUGGUUGCUAGGGUGUUGCUAGGUGGUUGCUAAGGUGUUGCUAUGGUAUCUGGGGUGGUUGCUAAUGUGUUGCUAGGUGGUUGCUAAGGUGUUGCUAUGGUAUCUGGGGUGGUUGCUAAAGUGUUGCUAGGGUGUUGCUAGGUGGUUGCUAGGGAGUUGCUAGGUGGUUGCUAAGGUGUUGCUAUGGUAUCUGGGGUGGUUGCUAAGGUGUUGCUAGGUGGUUGCUAGGGUGUUGCUAUGGUAUCCGGGGUGGUUGCUAAGGUGUUGCUAGGUGGUUGCUAGGUGGUUGCUAAGGUGUUGCUAGGUGGUUGCUAGGUGGUUGCUAAGAUGUUGCUAUGUGGUUGCUAAGGUGUUGCUAUGGUAUCCUGGGUGGUUGCUAAGGUGUUGCUAGGUGGUUGCUAAGGUGUUGCUAUGCGGUUGCUAAGGUGUUGCUAUGGUACCUGGGGUGGUUGCUAAGGUGUUGCUAGGUGGUUGCUAGGGUGUUGCUAUGGUAUCCGGGGUGGUUGCUAAGGUGUUGCUAGGUGGUUGCUAGGUGGUUGCUAAGGUGUUGCUAGGUGGUUGCUAAGGUGUUGCUAUGGUAUCUAGGGUGGUUGCUAAGGUGUUGCUAGGUGGUUGCUAGGGUGUUGCUAGGUGGUUGCUAGGUGGUUGCUAAGGUGUUGCUAUGCGGUUGCUAAGGUGUUGCUAUGGUAUCCUGGGUGGUUGCUAAGGUGUUGCUAGGUGGUUGCUAGGUGGUUGCUAAGGUGUUGCUAUGGUACCUGGGGUGGUUGCUAAGGUGUUGCUAGGUGGUUGCUAGGGUGUUGCUAUGGUAUCCGGGGUGGUUGCUAAGGUGUUGCUAG